Diplogelasinospora grovesii is the source of this 114-nucleotide non-coding RNA. NCBI's taxonomy places the organism in Eukaryota, Fungi, Ascomycota, Sordariomycetes, Sordariales, Diplogelasinosporaceae. The record is from the annotation of a GenBank genome assembly.
GCCCGCAUGGCUAAGUGGUAUAGCGUAUCACUAGUAAAAAGCGACCUCAGGGGAUUCCCAAGGAGUCGUGCUAGGAUAAUGAUAAGGUCAUCAGUUCGAUUCUGAUUGUGGGCA